AUUCCUUGUUGUAAAAACCGCAACCAUUAUAGUGCAUUUGCUUCCUGGGUUGGAAGGACACUGGAUGUAGGCAUUGUUGGCCGAACCAGUAUAAAAAUCAAUGUUUGAUUUUCUCUAUCCCUGCACUCUUUAAUUCCAGUCAACUUUAUCUUUUACGCAGUCAACUACGUUUUUCCGCUGCAUAUAAAUUUUCAUUACUUGCAUUUCAAGAAAGUUCAAAAAGGUUUAUACUUUUGAUAAAAGAUUGCGAAAAGAUUUUGUUUUUGAAACAUCACCAAUUCACCCC
Molecule: long non-coding RNA, 286 nt
Filed under: Vigna radiata
Lineage: Eukaryota; Viridiplantae; Streptophyta; Magnoliopsida; Fabales; Fabaceae
Description: long non-coding RNA (VRAD_LNC008545)
Source: RNAcentral